ACUAACGCUGGCGGCGUGCCUAACACAUGCAAGUCGAACGAUUCUUUGAUUAUAGCAAUAUUAUUAAAGAGGAGUGGCGAACGGGUGAGUAACACGUAGAUAAUCUGCCUUUCAGACGGGGACAACUCAGGGAAACUUGUGCUAAUACCCGAUGAGACCACAAGAAGGGAUUUUUUGUGGCCAAAGGCGGGCAGCAAUGCUCGUGCUGAAAGAUGAGUCUGCGUCCUAUCAGCUAGUUGGUGGGGUAAAUGCCUACCAAGGCUAAGACGGGUAGCCGGCCUGAGAGGGUGAACGGCCACACUGGGACUGAGACACGGCCCAGACUCCUACGGGAGGCAGCAGUGAGGAAUUUUCCGCAAUGGGCGCAAGCCUGACGGAGCGACGCCGCGUGAGGGAUGACAGCUUUCGGGUUGUAAACCUCUUUUAUUAAGGAAAAAGAUCUAUAUGCUAAUAUCAUGUAGAUUUGAUGGUACUUAUUGAAUAAGCCCCGGCUAACUACGUGCCAGCCGCGGC
Molecule: ribosomal RNA, 513 nt
Filed under: uncultured bacterium
Lineage: Bacteria
Description: bacterial SSU rRNA
Rfam family: Bacterial small subunit ribosomal RNA
Source: RNAcentral